Molecule: transfer RNA, 73 nt
Filed under: Cordylochernes scorpioides
Lineage: Eukaryota; Metazoa; Arthropoda; Arachnida; Pseudoscorpiones; Chernetidae
Description: tRNA-Val
Source: RNAcentral
GUUUCCGUGGUGUAGCGGUUAUCACGUGUGCUUCACACGCACAAGGUCCCCGGUUCGAUCCCGGGCGGAAACA